UCAAUAGGAACAACAGAAUUCCUUGGCGAUUCUAAUCCCUAUGUUGAUUUUCACUCAUAAAUUCCUUUGCUCUAGGAAACUGAUUACCAUCCUGAUCCAGCUAAAUACAGUGACUGUAUUAAACUAUGGAGAAAGAUAAGCUGCCAGACUCCUCAAUGGAUCCUCUGCAAAGCCAAAUAAUACUUCUGAACCAUCUGUGCCUUCAGCAGUGAGAAAAUACGUUCCAACUCAAAAGUCUAACCAUAAAUGGCAAAAAUUCUGAAGAAACUCUUCAGUUUCCUUGUGACCCAACACAAGAUGUUUUUAAAUGCGUUUUAAAUUUAAAAAAAGAAAAGUACCAAGCUUUUAAACUU
Molecule: long non-coding RNA, 353 nt
Organism: Neofelis nebulosa (Clouded leopard)
Lineage: Eukaryota; Metazoa; Chordata; Mammalia; Carnivora; Felidae
Exons: 2
Source: RefSeq, a predicted model, not a curated record